This 72-nucleotide transfer RNA is filed under the name Camelus bactrianus (Bactrian camel). It matches the Rfam family "tRNA". From Rfam's summary of the family: Transfer RNA (tRNA) molecules are approximately 80 nucleotides in length. Their secondary structure includes four short double-helical elements and three loops (D, anti-codon, and T loops). Lineage: Eukaryota; Metazoa; Chordata; Mammalia; Artiodactyla; Camelidae. RNAcentral also lists the same sequence under 3 other names. The record is from Rfam by way of RNAcentral.
AAGGGUAGAGCUCAGUGGUAGAGUGUGUGCCUAGCAUGCAUGAGGUCCUGGAUUCAAUCCCCAGUGCCUCCA